This is a long non-coding RNA of Cynara cardunculus var. scolymus (artichoke), 369 nucleotides long. RefSeq lists it as uncharacterized. The record is from RefSeq and is a predicted model, not a curated record. The transcript is spliced from 3 exons. Lineage: Eukaryota; Viridiplantae; Streptophyta; Magnoliopsida; Asterales; Asteraceae.
GAAAGGCAAAAUAACAGUCGUUGCUUUUGCUGAUGGAUGGCUUCCUAUGCCAAGAUUAAGCAUUUAUUGUCACUAAUAAGCUUCUUUGAGACACUGCAUAUCGAGGUUGGUUCAGAUAUUGGGAUAACAAUUGUAACCCCAGGACUCAUCAAAUCACCAAUCACAAACGACGAAUGGUUACUACAGACGAACUUAAAUUGGGCACCAUUAUUAUUGGUAAAAGGUUGUGCAAAAAAAUUGUGUAUAGCUCAGCCCAUGGAGAUGAGUAGUUGACGGAGCAAGGAUAUAUGAGGAUGCUCUUUUUAUUGAAACUACUAUGUCCUCAGAUCCUCUACUCAACAGGAAAUCCUUUAGCAGCAGCAGCAGCUC